Molecule: non-coding RNA, 226 nt
Organism: Pelobates cultripes (western spadefoot toad)
Lineage: Eukaryota; Metazoa; Chordata; Amphibia; Anura; Pelobatidae
Source: the annotation of a GenBank genome assembly
AAUAUAUAAAUUAAAGAAUAUUCUCAAAAUGUGUCCUGUUAUCUUUAAAAACAAUUGUCCAAAAAAAAAAAAAAAAACAGCGAAUUGCUUAUUAAUUAAAAUAAUAUUUUCAGAAUGCGUCCUGCUGUGUUAAAUAAAAUAUGUGUAUAUAUAUAUGGAGAUUUGCAGUUAUGUUGAGGAAUGUCUUAGGGUAUUCUUCAACAGCUAAUUAUUUACAAUGCCAAGC